This 98-nucleotide ribosomal RNA is filed under the name Bacillus spizizenii. Lineage: Bacteria; Bacillati; Bacillota; Bacilli; Caryophanales; Bacillaceae. The record is from RNAcentral.
UUUGGUGGCGAUAGCGAAGAGGUCACACCCGUUCCCAUGCCGAACACGGAAGUUAAGCUCUUCAGCGCCGAUGGUAGUCGGGGGUUUCCCCCUGUGGG